UGGGGAAUAUUGGACAAUGGGGGCAACCCUGAUCCAGCCAUGCCGCGUGAGUGAUGAAGGCCUUAGGGUUGUAAAGCUCUUUCACCGGUGAAGAUAAUGACGGUAACCGGAGAAGAAGCCCCGGCUAACUUCAUGCCAGCAGCCGCGGUAAUACGAAGGGGGCUAGCGUUGUUCGGAAUUACUGGGCGUAAAGCGCACGUAGGCGGAUUGUUAAGUCGAGGGUGAAAUCCCAGGGCUCAACCCUGGAACUGCCUUCGAUACUGGCAUUCUUGAGUCCGAGAGAGGUGAGUGGAAUUCCGAGUGUAGAGGUGAAAUUCGUAGAUAUUCGGAAGAACACCAGUGGCGAAGGCGGCUCACUGGCUCGGAACUGACGCUGAGGUGCGAAAGCGUGGGGAGCAAAACAGGAUUAGAUACCCUGGUAGUCCACGCCGUAAACGAUGGGUGCUAGCCGUUGGGCAGCUUGCUGUUCAGUGGCGCCGCAACGCUUUAAGCA
This 493-nucleotide ribosomal RNA is filed under the name uncultured bacterium. RNAcentral describes it as "partial 16S ribosomal RNA". It matches the Rfam family "Bacterial small subunit ribosomal RNA", at positions 355 to 866 of the family's 1533-position model. The record is from RNAcentral.